UACGUAGGGGGCAAGCGUUAUCCGGAUUUAUUGGGCGUAAAGAGCUCGUAGGCGGCCGUUCGCGUCGGAUGUGAAAGCUCAGGGCUCAACUCUGAGAUGCCAUUCGAUACGGGACGGCUAGAGGUAGGUAGGGGAGAGUGGAAUUCCUGGUGUAGCGGUGAAAUGCGUAGAGAUCGGGAGGAACACCAGAGGCGAAGGCGGCGACCUGGACAGGUACUGACACUCAACUACGAAAGCGUGGGGAGCAAACAGG
RNAcentral lists this ribosomal RNA (253 nucleotides) under uncultured bacterium. RNAcentral describes it as "partial 16S ribosomal RNA". It matches the Rfam family "Bacterial small subunit ribosomal RNA", at positions 524 to 776 of the family's 1533-position model. The record is from RNAcentral.